This 148-nucleotide ribosomal RNA is filed under the name uncultured fungus. RNAcentral describes it as "5.8S ribosomal RNA". It matches the Rfam family "5.8S ribosomal RNA". Rfam says of the family: 5.8S ribosomal RNA (5.8S rRNA) is a component of the large subunit of the eukaryotic ribosome. Lineage: Eukaryota; Fungi. The record is from RNAcentral.
CAACCUUUAACAAUGGAUCUCUUGGUUCCUGCAACGAUGAAGAACGCAGCAAAGUGCGAUAACUAAUGUGAAUCGCAACACGUGAAUCAUCAAGUCUUUGAACGCAACUUGCACUUCCUUUGGAAGUAUGCCUGUUUGAGUAUCAUAU